ACGCACGCUGGCGGCCGGCCUAACCCAUGCAAGUCGAGCGAGGACUUCGGUUCUAGCGGCGGACGGGUGAGUAACGCGUGGGAAUGUGCCCUUCUCUACGGAAUAGCCCUGGGAAACUGGGAGUAAUACCGUAUACGCCCUAUUGGGGAAAGAUUUAUCGGAGAAGGAUCAGCCCGCGUUGGAUUAGGUAGUUGGUGGGGUAAUGGCCUACCAAGCCGACGAUCCAUAGCUGGUUUGAGAGGAUGAUCAGCCACACUGGGACUGAGACACGGCCCAGACUCCUACGGGAGGCAGCAGUGGGGAAUCUUAGACAAUGGGGGCAACCCUGAUCUAGCCAUGCCGCGUGAGUGAUGAAGGCCUUAGGGUUGUAAAGCUCUUUCAGCUGGGAAGAUAAUGACGGUACCAGCAGAAGAAGCCCCGGCUAACUCCGUG
RNAcentral lists this ribosomal RNA (432 nucleotides) under uncultured bacterium. Its description in RNAcentral is "partial 16S ribosomal RNA". It matches the Rfam family "Bacterial small subunit ribosomal RNA", at positions 29 to 507 of the family's 1533-position model. The record is from RNAcentral.